This 107-nucleotide small nucleolar RNA is filed under the name Gossypium hirsutum (cotton). Its description in RNAcentral is "Plant small nucleolar RNA R71". It matches the Rfam family "Plant small nucleolar RNA R71". From Rfam's summary of the family: R71 is a member of the C/D box family of snoRNAs containing the C (UGAUGA) and D (CUGA) box motifs. Multiple nearly identical copies of this snoRNA have been identified in Arabidopsis, and it is thought to function as a 2'-O-ribose methylation guide for 18S ribosomal RNA. The record is from Rfam by way of RNAcentral. Lineage: Eukaryota; Viridiplantae; Streptophyta; Magnoliopsida; Malvales; Malvaceae.
AAACCAUUCAUUGGGCGUUUUCUAAUUAGUUCCUUAAAACACUCUUAUGUUUCAUACAAUGUUUCAUCUUCAAAUUGCCUAAAUGAUGUAAUGUUGUUCCUAAGCUU